This 513-nucleotide ribosomal RNA is filed under the name uncultured bacterium. RNAcentral's name for it is "partial 16S ribosomal RNA". It matches the Rfam family "Bacterial small subunit ribosomal RNA", at positions 28 to 523 of the family's 1533-position model. The record is from RNAcentral.
GAUGAACGCUGGCGGCGUGCCUAAUACAUGCAAGUCGAACGCGCAGCGAAAGGUGCUUGCACCUUUCAAGCGAGUGGCGAACGGGUGAGUAACACGUGGAUAACCUGCCUCAAGGCUGGGGAUAACAUUUGGAAACAGAUGCUAAUACCGAAUAAAACUUAGUAUCGCAUGAUACAAAGUUAAAAGGCGCUACGGCGUCACCUAGAGAUGGAUCCGCGGUGCAUUAGUUGGUUGGUGGGGUAAAGGCUUACCAAGACGAUGAUGCAUAGCCGAGUUGAGAGACUGAUCGGCCACAUUGGGACUGAGACACGGCCCAAACUCCUACGGGAGGCUGCAGUAGGGAAUCUUCCACAAUGGGCGCAAGCCUGAUGGAGCAACGCCGCGUGUGUGAUGAAGGCUUUCGGGUCGUAAAGCACUGUUGUAUGGGAAGAAAUGCUAAAAUAGGGAAUGAUUUUAGUUUGACGGUACCAUACCAGAAAGGGACGGCUAAAUACGUGCCAGCAGCCGCCGUAA